UAUGCUGAAGAAAACAACAGACGUUAAGCAUUUGGGGAAGAUAUCAGCAGACACUUUAUCUGUAGUCAAAGCAGAAAUCAGAAUCAGAAUGGAAGUGUUAGGAGGAUUCUCAGUUGCAGAAAGUCCUGCAACGAAUGAAAUCCAGGCAAUGUGUUCCAUGCUGAAGAGUGAUAUUGAGUAUGCUACUUCAAAAAAGUACAAGGAGUUCACAGCAAUUAAAUAUACUGACCAAACUGUGAAUGGAAAAAAUUACAACAUUAGGGUCCAUGUUGGGGAUGAACAAUGUACCGAUCUGCGGGUCUAUAAAUCCUUCUCUUCAGAAUCUUCUCUUGGAUUAAGGGAGUUUAGGAUUGGAUGGAAAAUUCUCUCAGAAAACAGGAGAAUGAACGAUCCACUAUGACCCGACAACUGAAAUCAAUACAAAAGUCAACCAGUCUCUACUUUCUCCAAUAGGCUGUCUCCAGGAAAAGUCAGUAGAAUUGUAUUGGUCUUUGUUCAGAGGUUAUUAAAGUAUCAUUAAUUACCUUGACUGUCAUGGAGAUUGUUUUAUGUUCUCAGCAUUGGAUAUACUGAAUGUUGAAAAGCAAUGUAAAAGAUGUAAAAAAAUAAAUAAAAAAAUCAUAUACGCUGCAGACAUUA
This is a long non-coding RNA of Cyprinodon tularosa, 639 nucleotides long. RefSeq lists it as uncharacterized. Lineage: Eukaryota; Metazoa; Chordata; Actinopteri; Cyprinodontiformes; Cyprinodontidae. The transcript is spliced from 3 exons. The record is from RefSeq and is a predicted model, not a curated record.